UGGCUACUCCCUCCGUUUGAAAAAACUUAUCUCAAACUUGUCCCUCAAAUGGAUGUAUCUACCACUAACUUGGUGCUAGAUACAUCUAUUUGAGAGACAAACUUUUUCAAACGGAGAGAGUACAUG
Molecule: non-coding RNA, 126 nt
Organism: Triticum aestivum (bread wheat)
Lineage: Eukaryota; Viridiplantae; Streptophyta; Magnoliopsida; Poales; Poaceae
Source: Rfam